Molecule: long non-coding RNA, 454 nt
Organism: Magallana angulata
Lineage: Eukaryota; Metazoa; Mollusca; Bivalvia; Ostreida; Ostreidae
Exons: 3
Source: RefSeq, a predicted model, not a curated record
UGUGAAUCGAGUAUAUCUUGGGACAGAGUAUAGGAGUGAUGGAAGGGUUAAUGUCCAAAUACAUGUAAAUCUUCAUUAAUUUAAUAAAAGUUUUUUUCUAUGCCUUGAUAAUGUCACAAUCUAAAAGCUGGGCAUUCCAUCUGUUACCAGAUAAUGGUUUCUAACGGAGACUCAGAGCAUGGAAUCUGUUUCAAUCAAAAUUUUUAAGAGGGAUAAAAAAGAUAGCCUCAGGAUGAUUUGCUGUAGUGAGCACAUAAGUCUUGGUUCAUGGGGGAAUGUUUAUUUGAGGCUGACCUGUCUUCUGCAAAAUUAAUGUACUUGUAUUGAUAUACCAGCUGCUUGUGUGGUUUGAAGAUUAAUGGAAGAUGCACCAGCAGACUCAUUCCCACUCGUGUCAUUACUGUCCCCAAUGUGGCUAACUUUGUCCCUACACAAAGUGACACCUACCAAAGAA